RNAcentral lists this ribosomal RNA (391 nucleotides) under Actinocyclus sp. (in: diatoms). RNAcentral's name for it is "Actinocyclus sp. (in: Bacillariophyta) partial small subunit ribosomal RNA". It matches the Rfam family "Eukaryotic small subunit ribosomal RNA", at positions 582 to 975 of the family's 1831-position model. Lineage: Eukaryota; Bacillariophyta; Coscinodiscophyceae; Coscinodiscales; Hemidiscaceae. The record is from RNAcentral.
AUUCCAGCUCCAAUAGCGUAUAUUAAAGUUGUUGCAGUUAAAAAGCUCGUAGUUGGAUUUCUGGUAGAAGUAGCGACCUUGGGUCUUUGACCUAUGAAGUUGCUAUCUUCAACCAUCCUUGAAGAGAUUUAGUUUGGCAUUAAGUUGUCGAACUAAAGAUAUUCAUCUUUUACUGUGAAAAAAUCAGAACGUUCAAAGUAAGCAUUUAGCUUUGAAUGUAUUGGCAUGGAAUAAUGAAAUAGGACUUAGGUACUACUUUGUUGGUUUAUGCACCUAGGUAAUGAUUAAUAGGGAUAGUUGGGGGUAUUCGUAUUCCAAUGUUAGAGGUGAAAUUCUUGGAUUUUUGGAAGACGAACAACUGCGAAAGCAUUUACCAAGGAUGUUUUCAUCA